Molecule: unclassified non-coding RNA, 1035 nt
Filed under: Leishmania donovani
Lineage: Eukaryota; Euglenozoa; Kinetoplastea; Trypanosomatida; Trypanosomatidae
Description: gene:LdHU3.25.0120(CDS-product:hypothetical_prote in)
Source: RNAcentral
GUGACCACCUCCGCCUCUUCCUGUGCCUCCAUGCGGAACACGCGUUGGUUGCGACCUCUCUCUUUGCGCUCUCGCCUUUCCUUAUUCUGUGUGUGUGCGCUUACAUUUGUGGCCGGUGCGAUUUUCUUGAACGGCACAGCGCUGAGGACCUCUCCAUAGCAUCAUCGGAUCAAGGUUCUCUUGCUUUCCACUAGCAAGAGCUUCUUCGUUCUCGGUGCACGGCAGAGAAGUUCACUGCAGAGGCUGACUGGCAAAUAAACCCAGCGAAGGAUGUUUCGCAGACUAAGCGCUAUUCCGGUGAGGUGGACGGCCGGGGCGGUUUCUGGUGUCGGUACGUCGGCCAUGGCUAGUGGGCCAAGAGCAUACGCUGCGAAGGGCGAGGAGCAGAUGGACGACGCCGAGUUUGAGGUCUUCGAAGACGACCUCUGGUUUCUCGACGAGCUCUGCGACGAAAACGUUGGCGACCUCUUCUCUUACAUUCCCUCUUCUGACGCAACGCUGCUUGGACACGAUGAGCCACCUUCCAAGUAGAAAAAAAAAGAUCGCGACUGCGGAGCUUGCGUCAGCGGUGUGGCGUACUCCCGUGUCACUUUUAGCAGCUCUUGUGAGUGACCCCACCCACACCCCCGCGGUCAGAUGGAGGUCAUCUUUCGUGAUUUGUAAUUGCCCCUCCUUCUCUUAUUCCCUCCCACGUCUCUCCCUCGCGCUGCUCCGCGUUUGAAACUCGUUGGAUUGUGUGUGUGUGUGUGUGUGUUUCAUAUUUACAGAGAUUUACCGGACAAAAGACGUCCGUCCCUGUGGCGCGGCGUUGACGACCCUCGCAGGGAUCUUCCCUUUUUCCUUUAAGGCAAGACGAAAAACGAGAACGGACAUCUUUGCGAUGUGUGAUAUGUGCGUGUGUGCUCUUCUAAGACACGUUGCGCAACCGCGCAACUCGUCUUGAUGUUAAAGACUGUGUUCUUGAGUGUUGAUGGUGGCCGUACCUUAUUUUUUUCUCCGUGUUGUUGUUCCUUUCCACGCGACUUGCACAAGUGU